UAGGGAAUCUUCGGCAAUGGACGAAAGUCUGACCGAGCAACGCUGCGUGAGUGAAGAAGGUUUUCGGAUCGCAAAACUCUGUUGUUAGAGAAGAACAAGGACGUUAGUAACUGAACGUCCCCUGACGGUAUCUAACCAGAAAGCCACGGCUAACUACGUGCCAGCAGCCGCGGUAAUACGUAGGUGGCAAGCGUUGUCCGGAUUUAUUGGGCGUAAAGCGAGCGCAGGCGGUUUCUUAAGUCUGAUGUGAAGGCCCCCGGCUCAACCGGGGAGGGGCAUUGGAAACUGGGUGACUUGAGUGCAGAAGAGGAGAGUGGAAUUCCAGGUGUGGCGGUGAAAUGUGUAGAUAUAUGGAGGAACACCGGUGGCGAAGGCGGCUCUCUGGUCUGUAACUGACGCUGAGGCUCGAAAGAGUGGGGAGCAAACAGG
RNAcentral lists this ribosomal RNA (429 nucleotides) under Chloroflexota bacterium. Its description in RNAcentral is "Chloroflexi bacterium partial 16S ribosomal RNA". It matches the Rfam family "Bacterial small subunit ribosomal RNA", at positions 355 to 776 of the family's 1533-position model. The record is from RNAcentral. Lineage: Bacteria; Bacillati; Chloroflexota.